UGUUGCUUUGCAGUAGAUGUUAUGAGUCCAUCUGUUUAGAUGCGGAUAUGUUCUAAGACUUCUUUCUGAUUACAGAUCGGUUGCCGUCGGUAGUUCUUUACUAAACGAGGGUUCCGGUGCCAGCGGCUGUCCGAGGGGAAACUAUCGGCUUGGAUCGAGAGCUUGUGGAAGGUUUUGUGGAGCUUGAAGAUGACGUGAUUAAGUGAACUACUGAAGUUGACUAAAUUCAUAAAUGAAAUAAAUAAAACUUUUUGACCAGAA
Molecule: long non-coding RNA, 261 nt
Organism: Spea bombifrons (plains spadefoot toad)
Lineage: Eukaryota; Metazoa; Chordata; Amphibia; Anura; Pelobatidae
Exons: 2
Source: RefSeq, a predicted model, not a curated record